Molecule: long non-coding RNA, 302 nt
Filed under: Homo sapiens (human)
Lineage: Eukaryota; Metazoa; Chordata; Mammalia; Primates; Hominidae
Description: non-protein coding lnc-SOX1-7:1
Source: RNAcentral
GGGGCUGCAAUAUCCAAAUCCCAGCGUAGGGGUGACAGGCUGCUGCUCAGGUUUCUCUCUCCGGAAAUCAUCACCCGGUGCUCUGAGAACCGGGGUCUGUAGGACACGCCAUUCCUGCUCCCUGUUUUAAUGUGGAAAACACUCUGGGGGCCUUGGGUCUUCUGAACCACCUGCCUGGUUGCUUCAUGCUGCUGCUUAGGGCCUUUCAGAAUGGAUUUGUAUUUAUGCUCUCACUCCCUUCUUACUGAUUUCUGCUUAACUAAACUUCCAUGCCAACAAAACAGUGGGAAGAUCCCUAGAUU